Molecule: ribosomal RNA, 253 nt
Filed under: uncultured bacterium
Lineage: Bacteria
Description: partial 16S ribosomal RNA
Rfam family: Bacterial small subunit ribosomal RNA
Source: RNAcentral
UACGUAGGGUGCAAGCGUUAAUCGGAAUUACUGGGCGUAAAGCGUGCGUAGACGGCUAUCUAAGUCGGGUGUGAAAGCCCCGGGCUCAACCUGGGGAUUGCAUUCGAGACUGAAUAGCUAGGGUGCGGUAGAGGGAAGCGGAAUUUCCGGUGUAGCGGUGAAAUGCGUAGAUAUCGGAAGGAACAUCAGUGGCGAAAGCGGCUUCCUGGACCAGCACCGACGUUCAGGCACGAAAGCGUGGGGAGCAAACAGG